RNAcentral lists this ribosomal RNA (253 nucleotides) under uncultured bacterium. RNAcentral describes it as "partial 16S ribosomal RNA". It matches the Rfam family "Bacterial small subunit ribosomal RNA", at positions 524 to 776 of the family's 1533-position model. The record is from RNAcentral.
UACGGGGGGGGCAAGCGUUGUUCGGAAUUACUGGGCGUAAAGGGCUCGUAGGCGGCCAACUAAGUCGGAUGUGAAAUCCCCAGGCUCAACUUGGGAACUGCAUCCGAUACUGGAUGGCUUGAAUUCGGGAGAGGGAUGCAGAAUUCCAGGUGUAGCGGUGAAAUGCGUAGAUAUCUGGAGGAACACCGGUGGCGAAGGCGGUUCUCUGGGCCUUACCUGACGCUGAGGAGCGAAAGCGUGGGGAGCGAACAGG